CGUCAUUUUCCUUUCCUUUCUUCUUCUGUAAUAACAGGUCCCUUCUUCCACCACUUCACUGCCUCCAUCUCCACCAAACCCACCAGAAUUUCUUCAAUAAAAAAAAAAUUACGCUCCAUAUAUUCAUCCAUUAAAUGGACAAGAGGGGUUGCUCUGAUGGUAAGCAACCUCCACUUCCAACCAAGAGGUUGUAAGUUCGAGUCACCCCAAGAGCAAGGUGGGGAGUUCUAGGAGGGAAGAUGACGAUGGUCUAUUGGAAACAGCCUCUCUAUUUCAUGGUAGAGGUAAGGUUGCGUACACACUACCCUUCCCACACCCCACUAGUAAAAUUAUAUUGGAUUAUUGUUGUUGUAUAUUCAUCCGUUAAAUCACACCCACCACCACUUUGAUUGCCACAUCGAUAUUUUUUUUUAAAAAAAGCUUAGAAAACUUCAACAAAAAAAACAGCAUAAUAGAAAUCAUCUCCGGUACAUUUUUCUCCUUCAAAACUCUUUCGUUUCUUCCUAAGAGUCAUCUCCAGUACAUUUUUCUCUUAUUUUCUUUUUCUUUUUCUUCUUCUUAUUUUUCGCCGGAAACAAUGGUGAUUCCGGUGACACUUUAAACAAUGGAGAUAUUUAAUAUAAAAAAGAAGAUGAAGAAAUAGGUGGGGAGAUUGGAUGUAACGAGAAAAAGAAGAAGCCAUAAAUAAAAAAAUUUGAAAUUAAAAAACCAAAUACAAGAACUAAUCAGCUGGGGGAAGAGAUAGCUAGGGAGUGCGGGGAUGAUGAAGGAGGCUUGGUGGCGUGGGGUGGGGGUUGGGGAUAAAGAAAAGGAAAAAAUAAUGGAGAGAAAAACUAAAUAAUAAAUGAAAAAGAUAUUAUGCGGUUUAUAAAACACAUGUCAAAAUAUGAUUGGUUCGUGUGGUAUUUAUUAUAUUUCAAAUAAAGACAUAGGACCUACAAAGUAUGAGGGUGUUAGAUGCGGAUUCAAAAUUUAAAUUUUAUGAGUUCAAUAUUUAAAGUUCUUAGUAUUGAACCCAUUAAAUUUUUUAAACUAUAGGUUCAAUCUACUAUUUAUUGUAAUUUUAGUGAAUUUUUACACAUUAAUUUAUAUUACGCGUCAAAAGAUAUGGAUUCAAUUGGACCCGUCACUAAAGUGCUACAUCCGUCCCUGGAGGGUGUAACUGGUAAAUUGGAACAACCCUAACGGGUAACUAUGUAUUAUCCUAUUACAAAUCAAACAAAACAACUUGGGAAACACAUUUAUUAGUUGAAACACAUAUAUUUUCUCUCACUAUAAUGGCAUCUUUGUAUCUCCUCAAUAUCUCCUCAAGUAAUUGUCUUCUCUCUCUAUGUUUGUGUUUCUAGCUAAGAAGAGAGAGAAAAAAGUUGAGAAUAAUAGUAAGUACUAACUGAUGUGAGGCGGAUUUUCUCAGAGAUAGGCUGUGUAGCCAUUUACCCUCGACUGCUGAAGGAAAUUUCAUUGAAGCCAGUAGAAAGAAUACAGCCAUACAGAACUUUUACGUAUAUAGAACUUUUAUGUUUUUUUAGUGUAAUUUAACUUUUAUAGAGGUUAUUUCCUUUGCUUUUUGGAUUAUCAGAUCAUAUUAGUUACAAAUAAUUAUCUAUUAUUGUGAGUAAUUUAACUUAAUGGUGUAAAACUAUUAACAUAAUUAUCAGUGUACGACAAUUAAACUUUUCUAUUUACAAGUUUCACCAAAGUUAUCUAUUCUAACCCAUGUAAUUAAGAAUAUAGUACAAUUGGAUGGUAAAAGUCACAUUUCUCCGCUCUUAAUUAACGGUCUUCAUUUCAAGUUUUAAAAUUGAAGUCUUUUAUGGGAGGAUGCUUUACAACCUGUAAUAGGCCUUCUCCGCAUGAGUCCAAAUUAGUCGAGC
RNAcentral lists this long non-coding RNA (1874 nucleotides) under Nicotiana tabacum (common tobacco). RNAcentral's name for it is "long non-coding RNA (NTAB_LNC004830)". Lineage: Eukaryota; Viridiplantae; Streptophyta; Magnoliopsida; Solanales; Solanaceae. The record is from RNAcentral.